UGGGCGCAUCUUUGACCACAGAGUCAGG
Molecule: non-coding RNA, 28 nt
Filed under: Mus musculus (house mouse)
Lineage: Eukaryota; Metazoa; Chordata; Mammalia; Rodentia; Muridae
Source: RNAcentral